CCCUGUUUACAAAAACAUGGUCUUUUGUUUAUAUAAAAGAUCUGGCCUGCCCUAUGAUUUAUUUUAAAUGGCUGCAGUAUUUUGACUGUACAAAGGUAGCAUAAUCAUUUGUCUUUUAAUUGAAGGCUGGUAUGAAUGGUUGGAUGAGGAAUAAUCUUUCUUUAUUUUAUAUAAAAAAAUUAAUUUUUUAGUUAAAAAGCUAAGAUUUAUUUAGAGGACGAGAAGACCCUAUAGAACUUUAUUUUUUAUUUUAUAUAAAAUUUUUAGUUUAUUAUAAUUUUAUAUAAAUUUAUUAAUUUUGUUGGGGUGACGGAAAAAAUUAUAUAACUUUUUCUAUUUUUAACAUUUAUGUAUGUUGUUUUGAUCCUAUAAUAUGGAUAAUAAGAUUAAGUUACCUUAGGGAUAACAGCGUUAUUUUUUUGGAGAGUUCUUAUCGAUAAAAAAGUUUGCGACCUCGAUGUUGGAUUAAAAUAAGUGGCAGGAGUAGAAUAUUGCUUACUAGGUCUGUUCGACCUUUAAAUUUUUACAUGAUCUGAGUUUCAACCG
This 546-nucleotide ribosomal RNA is filed under the name Tinginotum perlatum. RNAcentral describes it as "partial small subunit ribosomal RNA". It matches the Rfam family "Bacterial large subunit ribosomal RNA", at positions 1796 to 2618 of the family's 2925-position model. The record is from RNAcentral. Lineage: Eukaryota; Metazoa; Arthropoda; Insecta; Hemiptera; Miridae.